Molecule: non-coding RNA, 95 nt
Filed under: Desulfitobacterium dichloroeliminans
Lineage: Bacteria; Bacillati; Bacillota; Clostridia; Eubacteriales; Desulfitobacteriaceae
Also listed under: 1 other name
Description: c-di-GMP sequence
Rfam family: c-di-GMP-I riboswitch aptamer
About the family: GEMM was predicted in a large-scale screen for bacterial structured RNA regulatory elements.
Source: RNAcentral
AUGCGACAAGGGCAAAACUGUUUAAAAGCAGUGACGCAAAGCCACAGGGUCUAAGGGGCUACUUGCAGUAGUACUAUGACAGCCUGGCUACCGAA